This 1659-nucleotide long non-coding RNA is filed under the name Fukomys damarensis (Damara mole-rat). RNAcentral describes it as "lncRNA (ENSFDAG00000028391.1)". Lineage: Eukaryota; Metazoa; Chordata; Mammalia; Rodentia; Bathyergidae. The record is from RNAcentral.
GUGGGGGCCCGGGAAGCCGCAGCUCACCACAGGUGAGCGGGCCUGCCGCCGGAAGGGGCGGGUACUCGCGGGCCGUGACUCGGAAGAGAAGCCAGUGGGCGGAGAGCCUUUGGGCGGACGUUCGGGAGAGCGGGCCAAUGAGGGUGGGGCUCAGGAGGUACGCGGAGGGGCGGUGCCCAAUGAGGGGCGGGGACUCAGCCAGCGCGGUAUUGGUCGGGUAAGUGGAAGAGGGCAGAGCAAAAGUACUAAGGAGGAACGGGCCAAUGAGAGCGGGGCUCAGAGGAGGUUCCCAAAGAGCAGAUAUUCCAUUAGUCAGGGCAGGUGGGGGCGUGGCCACGUGUGGGCGGGGCAGCAUACCCCGAAUGGUCUACUACUCUAUUGGCUGGAGACUGGGAGGGGCGGGACGAUGAGAAAAGACCUCAAUGGGUGGAGACAGAGAGUCGGGAGGGGUGAGUUCGGUGAAGAAGGGGCUUAGACUCAGUAGGCGGCUAUUCCAUUGGUCAAGGGCCACGGAGAGGCGGGGGAAAGGGAAAGAUAUGAAGCUCCAGAGGGCGGGGAGAGAGCUCAUUGGGUACAGGUGCUGGGGGCGGGGCCCACGCGGGAUCCUGAGCUGUGGUAGGUCGAGGGGAGCGCUCGGGAGGAGUCCUCGGAAGCAGGGCGCGGAGGGGCGGGGCCGUCAGGAAGCAUAAUGGGCGGGGCUUCGGCGCCGUCUGAGCACUAAAGGGACUUGGAUCCCGGAAGGUGCGGUGCCGCCGGCCGCCCUGAGGCGGGAGCUGCUGGGGUUAGGGUUAGGUUCUGGGGAAGGCAGGCGGCGGGAAGUGCGCGGAACACGGCGACCCACAGGGUCUCCCGGCCUGGCCGGUUGUCUCCGUGGAGGACGGGCCGAGUCAGGGGCGAACGUCUGCUCCAUCUGCUCCCGCGGCGCCCCUGUCGACCCUCAGAACAUUCCCAGCCCGACAGGGGCCUGGCUGCCUUCCCCAGCCCCAGCCCCAGCCCCAGCCCCUGAUAGCCGUAAACCACUUCCUGUCUCUGGAUUCACCUGUCCAGCACGUUUCACAGCAGUGGCCCCGCACUCUGUGUCCUUUUCCACCGUCUCACGCGGAGCCCCCUGGCCUCGGUGUCCGCCUGUGUUGUGGCACGUGUUAGAGCCCCGUCCCUUUUCGUGGCUGCAUAAUAUUCCGCCGUGUCUCCGUCGUAUCUUCAUCGCCCCUUCCUGGUUCCUGCCUCUUGGCUGCACCCAGUGGCAGGUGGCGGAGGCAACCGCCCUGGUCCACACACUGGACGGCUGGUCAGUGGUGCGGACCAUGGUGGUGCCCACCAAGACGCCUGACAAGAAGCUCAUCUUCGGAAGAGGGAACCUGGAGCACCUGUCAGAGAGGAUCCGGGCGUCUCCAGAAGUCACAUCCGUGUUCCUGAACGUGGAGCGGAUGGCCGUCCCCACCAAGAGAGAGCUGGAGGCGGCCUGGGGCGUGGAGGUGUUUGACCGCUUCACCCUCGUCCUGCACAUCUUCCGCCGCAACGCCCGCACCAAGGAGGCCAAGCUGCAGGUGGCGCUGGCCGAGGUCCCCCUGCUCAGGUCCGCCGGAGGUGUCACCGCGGGUUUCCACCGCUGGGUCCUUACUGGGCGGGGGUCCUAGGUCGGGAUCCGGCGCACCAGGA